This 86-nucleotide transfer RNA is filed under the name Nematostella vectensis (starlet sea anemone). It matches the Rfam family "tRNA". From Rfam's summary of the family: Transfer RNA (tRNA) molecules are approximately 80 nucleotides in length. Their secondary structure includes four short double-helical elements and three loops (D, anti-codon, and T loops). Lineage: Eukaryota; Metazoa; Cnidaria; Anthozoa; Actiniaria; Edwardsiidae. The record is from Rfam by way of RNAcentral.
GCCUCGUUAGCGCAGUAGACGGCGCGUCAGUAUCAUAAUAGAAUUUAGAAGUCUGAAGGUCGUGAGUUCGAUCCUCACACGGGGCA